GGUUAAGUGACUAAGCGUACACGGUGGAUGCCUGGGCAGUCAGAGGCGAUGAAGGACGUACUAACUUGCGAUAAGCGCAGAUAAGGCAGUAAGAGCCGUUUGAGUCUGCGAUUUCCGAAUGGGGAAACCCAACUGCAUAAGCAGUUACUGUUAACUGAAUACAUAGGUUAACAGAGCAAACCGGGGGAACUGAAACAUCUAAGUACCCCGAGGAGAAGAAAUCAACCGAGAUUCCGGUAGUAGCGGCGAGCGAACCUGGAUUAGCCCUUAAGCACUCGGUGAAGUAGGUGAACAAGCUGGAAAGCUUGGCGAUACAGGGUGAUAGCCCCGUAACCGACGCUUCAUCGAGCGUGAAAUCGAGUAGGGCGGGACACGUGAUAUCCUGUCUGAAUAUGGGGGGACCAUCCUCCAAGGCUAAAUACUCCUGACUGACCGAUAGUGAACCAGUACCGUGAGGGAAAGGCGAAAAGAACCCCUGUGAGGGGAGUGAAAUAGAACCUGAAACCGUGUACGUACAAGCAGUAGGAGCACCUUCGUGGUGUGACUGCGUACCUUUUGUAUAAUGGGUCAGCGACUUAUAUUCAGUGGCAAGGUUAACCGUAUAGGGGAGCCGUAGCGAAAGCGAGUCUUAACUGGGCGCUCAGUCUCUGGAUAUAGACCCGAAACCGGGUGAUCUAGCCAUGGGCAGGUUGAAGGUUGAGUAACAUCAACUGGAGGACCGAACCGACUAAUGUUGAAAAAUUAGCGGAUGACUUGUGGCUAGGGGUGAAAGGCCAAUCAAACUCGGAGAUAGCUGGUUCUCCCCGAAAGCUAUUUAGGUAGCGCCUCGGACGAAUACUACUGGGGGUAGAGCACUGUUAAGGCUAGGGGGUCAUCCCGACUUACCAACCCUUUGCAAACUCCGAAUACCAGUAAGUACUAUCCGGGAGACACACGGCGGGUGCUAACGUCCGUCGUGGAGAGGGAAACAACCCAGACCGCCAGCUAAGGUCCCAAAGUAUUGCUAAGUGGGAAACGAUGUGGGAAGGCUCAGACAGCUAGGAUGUUGGCUUAGAAGCAGCCAUCAUUUAAAGAAAGCGUAAUAGCUCACUAGUCGAGUCGGCCUGCGCGGAAGAUGUAACGGGGCUAAGCAAUACACCGAAGCUGCGGCAAUGUCUUUUAGA
Molecule: ribosomal RNA, 1163 nt
Filed under: Vibrio cholerae
Lineage: Bacteria; Pseudomonadati; Pseudomonadota; Gammaproteobacteria; Vibrionales; Vibrionaceae
Also listed under: 1 other name
Description: partial 23S ribosomal RNA
Rfam family: Bacterial large subunit ribosomal RNA
Source: RNAcentral